Long non-coding RNA from Brassica napus (rape), 3220 nucleotides. RefSeq lists it as uncharacterized. Lineage: Eukaryota; Viridiplantae; Streptophyta; Magnoliopsida; Brassicales; Brassicaceae. The transcript is spliced from 11 exons. The record is from RefSeq and is a predicted model, not a curated record.
AAAGAGAAAUGAAUUAAUCAAGAAUCUGAAUCACUUUCAACAUCUCUCUCUCCAUCGUUGUCUCAUCUCUCUCUUUUUUUUUGUCUUGUCACUUUUACACACCUACUAAUUAAUAUAUAUACAAUAAUAAAUAUAAACACCACCUCACUUUUAUUAUACAACACUUUUAAUUUUUUCUAAUAAAGACUAAUAAUUUAAAUUAGAGGCGAUAUCCACGCUAUGCACAGAAUAUGCGUAUAAAUAUAUUAACCGCAGGGUCAAAACUCUCCAAAACUAUAGAAAAUGUAGUUGCUAAGUUUAAUAAUUAUUUGAUUUGAUGUUGUAUUUCAAAAUGUUGAGUUUGAAGGAUUGUUGCUUGCGCAAUGUGUGUAGUUCGUUAGGUUUUUUGUAGAAAUGUACAAUUGGGUCGUUGUUAAAAUAAAGUACGACUGGGCCAUAAGUUGAGUAGGCCAGGUUUGUUAAUAGUGUUAAAAAUGUAAAUGAUAAGUUUAAUAAUUAUUUGAUUUGAUGUUGUAUUUGAAAGUGAGAAGUCUGAAGGGUUGUUGCUUUACCAGUGAGAAGACGCUAGUUUAUUUGGUUGUUUUUUCUGUAGAUAUGUAUGAUUGGACCGUUGUUAAAAAGAUGUACAAUUAGCCAUAGCCUAAGCAGGCCAGGUUUGUUAAGUGUUAAGAGCGUGAUGUGGAUAUUUAGUUUUAUGAAAAUAUGUAGGUUUUCAUCUGUGGUGCGUUAUUUAACUAGAAUUGUAAUAUUUAAGCUAUGGUGCGUGUUCUUUAAAAUAUUGUUAAGGUUUUUAAUAGGAUUAGCAAAGAUUGGAAAUUUUAAUGUAUAUUUGUGGGUGAAAAUAAGACGAUUGGUCGGCUGUGUCAAACUGUUAUUAUGGUGUCUGAGUACGCAAGGGAUAUUCUAAAAAAGGUGGGGUAGCUGAAAUAAUGAUUAGAUCAUGUAUGAAAGCAUUAAAAGUUGAUAUCAUGUUAGAAAGCAGAAAUCUUGGAUAAAAUGGUAGAGAAUCAAAACUAUACUAAAAAGAGGAUACUAAGCCCUCUAAAGGUGUACACGUCAGAAUGAAAAAUUAACCAAUCAUAGAUUAUUAUAUGGUCACGUAAGUACAGUUGAGAAAAAAUGGGCUUUUCGCAUUGAAUCUAUUAAAAUGAUUUUCGCGACUUUCUCCCGACUUUUCCACUUCAUCAUUUUCUCCAACUUCUAUUUUUCUCGUUACUUUCUCAAUCAAUGACGAUGUUAAAGGGAUUUUUAAAAAAAUUUCUCUACCUCUCCUUGAUAAUCCUCCUAUAUAAAGUUCUAUCUCUAAACCUAAAUCCAUCCUAAAUAAAAAAAAAACUAUUCGGCAGAAACGACAUCAAUGGCUAUUAAAUCCACCACGAAGUCUCGGAUAACCACCGGAAAAUCUCUCGUCACCAUGUAUUUCAACGACAUCUCACCAGGACGAUCAACUUUUGGGAGACACAAAACAUAGCCAAAGCUGGAGCCUCUCUUGGAUUAGAGCUACGGCCAUGGAAUCCAACGGAAAGCUCCACCGGAAAGUCACAAGCUGUGAAUCCCUUGGAACAGAAUCUACUACGAAAUCAAGGCUACAGAUCCCCAAGAUACCUUUAUUUUGAUCCAAAUCGAUCUGACGACUUCUGUUAGUGAAAUAAUUUCACAUAUACAAAUAUCAUGUGAAAGAUACCUUCUGGAGAAGGAAAUCACAUUGACGGUAUGGUGCCAGUGUUUAUGCAGGAUGAAGAGAAACAUAGAAACAUCAGAAUCUGUGACAUGCUUUUCAUAGCAACGUCUCAUUGCCUUGCUGAUUUCAUCUUCUCUCUUGGCAACCAUUGCCUGCAAUUGAGUGACAGAGAGAGAAUAGACGUUAAGCUGAACUUUACAUCUGAUCUCAGUUAUAGAAGUGUUUGAGGAGAGUGAAGGGCGUAAACAUGGAGAGUGUUCACUGCUUGAUCUUGCCACAGUCUUGGAAAUCAAAAAGAAACUCUGUGAGGCUAACUCUGUGAGCGAGAGACAUAUACCAGAUAGUCUCUUGAAGAGACUUAUCAGUGGUACUAUCGAAUUCCCACCAGCUUGUGCCAUUGUAGGUGGAAUAUUAGCACAGGAAGUGAUCAAAGCUGUAUCAGGGAAAGGAGACCCGGUAAAGAACUUCUUCUACUAUGAUGCUCAAGAUGGAAAAGUCUUAAUUCAUAUUGAAGUAAAAAAAAAUGGUAAAAAAGAGAGGAUUCACACGAGCGAUUGAAGCAGCAGAUGAGUGAGCUUGAAAGAGAAUGGGCCAGGCAAAAGCUCAUGUUCAUUAAAACCCUUGACAACAACUUAGCAACUUCUCUGUGCAAGAUUCUCCUCAACUUCUCAAGAAGGUUCCAGUCUGAGGCCGAGGGAAAGCCUGUUGAAAUCAAAGAAGCCAAUUGCUUGGUUUUAAAAGGCGACCGCUUCGCUCGCCAUGGCGAGUAGCGGCCUGAGGCGACCUCCAAAACGACUCAGGACCCCAAUGCUAAGCGAGAUGAGUAAUGCUGAAGAAGAUCUAAGAAAAGGAAUCACUCCGGUUCAAAGCUAACAACAUAAGUACCAUUUUCACUCCAGUUCAAAGCUAACAACGGAAGUACAACAGAAGUACUAUUUUAUAAACAAAACAGAGAAACAAAACUCAUAAAGGUGCAAACUGAAAGGAAAGCAUAAGUCAACAAUUAAACUGCAAAACAAAGACUUAAACAGCAAUGAACCUUGCAAUUUCUGAGAAGAUAAGUGGAAGCUCUGAUUCCCACACUUUGGGCGUUUAGCUGUCUCUGGCUUAUCACUGCCACACGUCCUCUUAGUUCCCUCAUCUACAAAAUCUCCACAGCUUUUGGAAGGUUCACACACAUCAUAUCCAACCUGCAAGGUUUCCUCAAACAUUGCAGCAAAGCGGUUUCCAACAGAGGCUUCUAUAGGUGGUGGAGUUUCCAGGGAGAGGAUAUUGGUGACAGUUAUAGCUCGGGUCUUGCCAGUGAAGUUGCGCUCUGAAACAUUCACACAAAACUUAUGUGUUUGUCCAAUGGUGCUAAAUAGAGCUUCCGGGUGUUGGGAAUGUCCUGAAAUCUGUUGUACUUGCUCUGGUUAAAGUCGAAACGACCGUCAUAUAAUAUUAGGUGAUUAUAAUGUUUUGCUAAAAACUGCUUAUAGUCUAUGAAUUGAAAAUUCAUUACUAAUAUUAUAUGAUCCUACAGGUCACACACCUAAGCAA